GACGAACGCUGGCGGCGUGCUUAACACAUGCAAGUCGAACGGAAAGGCCUGCUUUCUCUUGUGGAGUGCGGGUACUCGAGUGGCGAACGGGCGAGUAACACGCGAGUGAUCUGCCCCCAACUUGGGUCUAAGCCUGGGAAACUGGGUCGAAUUACCGAUAGGACUGCAGGGUGGUGCCUGUGGUGGAAGAUGAUCUUCUAGUGGUAGGGGAUGAGCUGGCGGCCUAUCUGCUUGUUGGUGGGGUAAUGGACUACCAAGGCGGGGACGGGUAGACGGCCUGUGAUGGUGGACGGCCACAUUGAGACUGGGUCACGGCCCAGACUCCUGCGGGAAGCAGCAGUGGGGAAUAUUGCGGAGUAAGCGUGAGGCUGAUGCGGCGACGGCGCGUGGAAGAUGACGGGCUUCGAAUUGUAAACUCCUUUCGACCGCGAGAUAGCCACCUGGUUAGGAGGGUGUUGACGGUAGUGGUAGAAGAAGCACCGGCUAACUACGUG
RNAcentral lists this ribosomal RNA (494 nucleotides) under uncultured bacterium. RNAcentral's name for it is "partial 16S ribosomal RNA". It matches the Rfam family "Bacterial small subunit ribosomal RNA", at positions 28 to 507 of the family's 1533-position model. The record is from RNAcentral.